AGUCCUGUAGCUCAGUCGGUUAGAGCCUGAAGCUUAUAGGUACAUAUUAGUAUCUUCAAGGUCGGGGGUUCGAUCCCCCCCAGGACUA
This is a non-coding RNA of Paecilomyces variotii, 88 nucleotides long. The record is from the annotation of a RefSeq genome assembly. NCBI's taxonomy places the organism in Eukaryota, Fungi, Ascomycota, Eurotiomycetes, Eurotiales, Thermoascaceae.